UACGAACCGUCCAAACGUUACUCGGAAUCACUGGGCUUAAAGGGUGCGUAGGCCGCUCGGAGGGUGGGAUGUGAAAUCCCCCAGCUCAACUGGGGAAUAGCGUCCCAAACCGCCGGGCUUGAGGGAGACAGAGGUCAGCGGAACUGAUGGUGGAGCGGUGAAAUGCGUUGAUAUCAUCAGGAACACCAGUGGCGAAGGCGGCUGACUGGGUCUUUCCUAACGCUGAGGCACGAAAGCUAGGGGAGCGAACGGG
RNAcentral lists this ribosomal RNA (253 nucleotides) under uncultured prokaryote. RNAcentral describes it as "partial 16S ribosomal RNA". It matches the Rfam family "Bacterial small subunit ribosomal RNA", at positions 524 to 776 of the family's 1533-position model. The record is from RNAcentral.